RNAcentral lists this signal recognition particle RNA (100 nucleotides) under Phaeocystidibacter luteus. RNAcentral describes it as "signal recognition particle sRNA small type". It matches the Rfam family "Bacteroidales small SRP". Rfam says of the family: The non-coding component of the signal recognition particle in Bacteroides RNAcentral also lists the same sequence under 1 other name. The record is from RNAcentral. Lineage: Bacteria; Pseudomonadati; Bacteroidota; Flavobacteriia; Flavobacteriales; Phaeocystidibacteraceae.
GGGCAAGUCUCAUACAACCAGCUCCUGGUGAACUCCCCCAGGUCCGGAAGGAAGCAAGGGUAACUGGUCGAAGCGGUGUGAUAUGAGGAGCUUGCCCUUU